UACGGAGGGGGCUAGCGUUGUUCGGAAUUACUGGGCGUAAAGCGUGCGCAGGCGGCUUCUCAAGUCAGGGGUGAAAGCCCAGAGCUCAACUCUGGAAUUGUCUUUGAGACUGAGUGGCUUGAGUACGAGAGAGGUGAGUGGAAUUCCCAGUGUAGAGGUGAAAUUCGUAGAUAUUGGGAAGAACACCGGUGGCGAAGGCGGCUCACUGGCUCGUAACUGACGCUCAUGCACGACAGCGUGGGGAUCAAACAGG
Molecule: ribosomal RNA, 253 nt
Filed under: uncultured bacterium
Lineage: Bacteria
Description: partial 16S ribosomal RNA
Rfam family: Bacterial small subunit ribosomal RNA
Source: RNAcentral